This 760-nucleotide ribosomal RNA is filed under the name uncultured bacterium. Its description in RNAcentral is "bacterial SSU rRNA". It matches the Rfam family "Bacterial small subunit ribosomal RNA", at positions 28 to 776 of the family's 1533-position model. The record is from RNAcentral.
GAUGAACGCUAGCUCCAUUCUGAGCACAUGCAAGUCGAGGGGCAGCAUUUCAGUUUGCUUGCAAACUGGAGAUGGCGACCGGCGCACGGGUGAGUAACACGUAUCCAACCUGCCGAUAACUCGGGGAUAGCCUUUCGAAAGAAAGAUUAAUACCCGAUGGUAUAAUCAGACCGCAUGGUCUUGUUAUUAAAGAAUUUCGGUUAUCGAUGGGGAUGCGUUCCAUUAGGCAGUUGGUGAGGUAACGGCUCACCAAACCUUCGAUGGAUAGGGGUUCUGAGAGGAAGGUCCCCCACAUUGGAACUGAGACACGGUCCAAACUCCUACGGGUGGCAGCAGUGAGGAAUAUUGGUCAAUGGGCGCAGGCCUGAACCAGCCAAGUAGCGUGAAGGAUGACUGCCCUAUGGGUUGUAAACUUCUUUUAUAUGGGAAUAAAGUUUUCCACGUGUGGAAUUUUGUAUGUACCAUAUGAAUAAGGAUCGGCUAACUCCGUGCCAGCAGCCGCGGUAAUACGGAGGAUCCGAGCGUUAUCCGGAUUUAUUGGGUUUAAAGGGAGCGUAGGUGGACAGUUAAGUCAGUUGUGAAAGUUUGCGGCUCAACCGUAAAAUUGCAGUUGAUACUGGCUGUCUUGAGUACAGUAGAGGUGGGCGGAAUUCGUGGUGUAGCGGUGAAAUGCUUAGAUAUCACGAAGAACUCCGAUUGCGAAGGCAGCUCACUGGACUGCAACUGACACUGAUGCUCGAAAGUGUGGGUAUCAAACAGG